This 445-nucleotide ribosomal RNA is filed under the name uncultured Prevotella sp. RNAcentral's name for it is "bacterial SSU rRNA". It matches the Rfam family "Bacterial small subunit ribosomal RNA", at positions 355 to 794 of the family's 1533-position model. Lineage: Bacteria; Pseudomonadati; Bacteroidota; Bacteroidia; Bacteroidales; Prevotellaceae. The record is from RNAcentral.
GGAGGAAUAUUGGUCAAUGGGCGCAAGCCUAAACCAGCCAAGUAGCGUGAGGGAAGACUGCCCUACGGGUUGUAAACCUCUUUUGUUUGGGAAUAAAGUGCGGGACGCGUCCCGCAUUGCAUGUACCAUUUGAAUAAGGACCGGCUAAUUCCGUGCCAGCAGCCGCGGUAAUACGGAAGGUCCGGGCGUUAUCCGGAUUUAUUGGGUUUAAAGGGAGCGUAGGCCGGAGAUUAAGCGUGUUGUGAAAUGUAGUGGCUCAACCUCUGCACUGCAGCGCGAACUGGUCUUCUUGAGUACGCACAACGUGGGCGGAAUUCGUGGUGUAGCGGUGAAAUGCUUAGAUAUCACGAAGAACUCCGAUUGCGAAGGCAGCUCACGGGAGCGCAACUGACGCUGAAGCUCGAAAGUGCGGGGUAUCGAACAGGGAUUAGAUACCCUGGGUAGU